GACGAACGCUGGCGGCGUGCUUAACACAUGCAAGUCGAACGAAGAGCGACGGAAGCUUGCUUCUAUCAAUCUUAGUGGCGAACGGGUGAGUAACGCGUAAUCAACCUGCCCUUCAGAGGGGGACAACAGUUGGAAACGACUGCUAAUACCGCAUACGAUCUAAUCUCGGCAUCGAGGAUAGAUGAAAGGUGGCCUCUACAUGUAAGCUAUCACUGAAGGAGGGGAUUGCGUCUGAUUGGCUAGUUGGAGGGGUAACGGCCCACCAAGGCGAUGAUCAGUAGCCGGUCUGAGAGGAUGAACGGCCACAUUGGGACUGAGACACGGCCCAGACUCCUACGGGAGGCAGCAGUGGGGAAUCUUCCGCAAUGGACGAAAGUCUGACGGAGCAACGCCGCGUGAGUGAUGACGGCCUUCGGGUUGUAAAGCUCUGUUAAUCGGGACGAAAGGCCUUCUUGCGAAUAGUGAGAAGGAUUGACGGUACCGGAAUAGAAAGCCA
RNAcentral lists this ribosomal RNA (496 nucleotides) under Veillonella parvula. Its description in RNAcentral is "bacterial SSU rRNA". It matches the Rfam family "Bacterial small subunit ribosomal RNA", at positions 28 to 493 of the family's 1533-position model. Lineage: Bacteria; Bacillati; Bacillota; Negativicutes; Veillonellales; Veillonellaceae. The record is from RNAcentral.